Long non-coding RNA from Drosophila obscura, 489 nucleotides. RefSeq lists it as uncharacterized. The record is from RefSeq and is a predicted model, not a curated record. Lineage: Eukaryota; Metazoa; Arthropoda; Insecta; Diptera; Drosophilidae. The transcript is spliced from 2 exons.
UGAGAGCAUUGCGUUCGAUUAGCAAUUGCUGGCACAUUGUUGCGUUCCCUCCGCUCAGACCCAGACCCAGACCCAGGCCCAGGCCCGCACUGAUGUAAUUUAUUUUAGAACGCAAUUGCAAAACAAGUUCGCAAACUACGAGUGCACACACAACACGGCGCCACGAAGUGCAGGAGUAAUGUAAACAAAAUCAUAGGCGAGUGCAAGUAGUGCAGGUAUUGUAGAUAUUUCGACUUUGGGAUACCCGCUAAUUUGCAUCUGUGGUCUUUCUCAAGAGUUUCAGUUUCCUUGUAUCAUAACAAGUGCGGAUGCAGUAAAAACAAAUGGAUGUGGACUUAUUUCAGUGGGAUAUCACAGGACUAAAAGUCAUGUUGCUCCCACUUUAAUAGUCACUGGGAAAAAGGGGCGCCAUAGCGAACAAGAUUGUGGCUGUUACAAAUAUUUACACGAAUUUAAUAUAUACAUUUGUUUUAGCUGUGGCAGGACAGA